AGUGGCAUCGACGACGACGACGACGGCGGCAGAGAAACGGUCGUCGUUGUCGUUGUCGUUGCCUCCG
RNAcentral lists this microRNA precursor (67 nucleotides) under Drosophila mojavensis. RNAcentral's name for it is "Dmo-Novel-6_pre stem-loop". The record is from RNAcentral. Lineage: Eukaryota; Metazoa; Arthropoda; Insecta; Diptera; Drosophilidae.